This 213-nucleotide long non-coding RNA is filed under the name Nicotiana benthamiana. RNAcentral's name for it is "long non-coding RNA (NBEN_LNC015741)". The record is from RNAcentral. Lineage: Eukaryota; Viridiplantae; Streptophyta; Magnoliopsida; Solanales; Solanaceae.
AUAGGACAGAAUGAAAAGCUGCAUUGGAAAACAAAGAUAAAGUUAGGAACCAAGACAAGACAAAACACAGUAACAAAACAAAGCAUAAGUAAUCCUGUAGAAAUAACGUAAAUGAUUAUGCAAACAUAAGAAACAUAAAUACCGUCGGAUGCGACAAUAACAAGCGACAACUAUCAUAUUACCAACCAAGAGGGGACCUACGCUAAAACNNNN